CCUACGGGAGGCAGCAGUGGGGAAUAUUGCACAAUGGGGGAAACCCUGAUGCAGCGACGCCGCGUGAGUGAAGAAGUAAUUCGGUAUGUAAAGCUCUAUCAGCAGGGAAGAAAAUGACGGUACCUGAGUAAGAAGCCCCGGCUAACUACGUGCCAGCAGCCGCGGUAAUACGUAGGGGGCAAGCGUUAUCCGGAUUUACUGGGUGUAAAGGGAGCGUAGACGGCAGUGCAAGUCUGGAGUGAAAGGCGGGGGCUUAACCCCCGGACUGCUUUGGAAACUGUGCGGCUGGAGUGCAGGAGAGGUAAGUGGAAUUCCUAGUGUAGCGGUGAAAUGCGUAGAUAUUAGGAGGAACACCAGUGGCGAAGGCGGCUUACUGGACUGUAACUGACGUUGAGGCUCGAAAGCGUGGGGAGCAAACAGGAUUAGAUACCCGGGUAGUC
Molecule: ribosomal RNA, 440 nt
Filed under: uncultured bacterium
Lineage: Bacteria
Description: partial 16S ribosomal RNA
Rfam family: Bacterial small subunit ribosomal RNA
Source: RNAcentral